Molecule: non-coding RNA, 1755 nt
Organism: Anas platyrhynchos (mallard)
Lineage: Eukaryota; Metazoa; Chordata; Aves; Anseriformes; Anatidae
Source: RefSeq, a predicted model, not a curated record
AAGGGCUUGGCUGUAAAAUGAGUCAUGUAGAAAGAGUGGCUGGUGCCCAGACGAGAUGGGAGCUGAAGAGUGACCAAAUACAAAGCACAGCAGGGAGCUCUUCUGUGUUUGUGGGGAACACAGUGAGAAAUCAUGAAAGUGGGAGAAUUGCUCAGUAGUAUGGAAAACUAUAGGGGGAAAGAAGCAGCAUGAGCAGGAAACUGGAGCUUGUUCACAGUAUGAUUUUGUGAUUUUAGGACAUGUGUCAGGGAGAGAACAUAAGUAACUGAGGAAAUCCCUUUAGCUCUUUGAUUUCCUUAAAUAGUAAAAAUCUGUGUUUCUCUCUACCAUUCCUGGUAGUUGUAAUAUUAAAAGUCAUCUCUCAAGUCACCUCAGAGCCUCAAAACAAACAAACAAAAAACACACAAAAGAAAUGAAAAAGUUGAGUGGGAGUUUCCAAGAAGAUUUGAGUUUUGGGUGCCAGCUGUGUUUAUCUCCUAGGGAGGGUUUCUCGAAGAGAGUUCUGAGAAAGCUGCAAAAAAAACUCAAAUUGGACAGGAAAAGUUUUGUCAACUGGCUUUUGAAACUCACUCCUGAUUUUAUACCUUGGCAGAUGCAGCUGAGGGGCACUGCUGCCAGCUGUUACCUUGCUUGCCCUCCACACUGGACCUUGAGCAAGUGUUGGUGUGGGGUUUCCUUUGGGUGGGAAUUGCCACCUGCAGUCAGGAUGUUGCCAAGGAUCUGCUGCCCUCUUCUUCCUUAUCCUUCAAGAGAUUAAUUGGGGUUAUUCGUGCAGCCUGUUGAAACUGUCAGGAACAUGACAUGCUGAAAUGUGGGACCAGAUGUGAACUUGGGUCAUCAAGUCCAGUGUUGGCUAAGGACCAGCAUGACGUUCACUCCAGAGCCCUGGAAGCCACUGCUAAUGUGUAAUUCCUGCCUUGAUGGUCUUCCUGCCCUUGUCAUGGCUAAUGAUCUGCCAGGGCAAAGGCUGGGUUUGAAACUGAUUGCUAUCAACAUUUACAUCUGGGAAUGGAUCUGAAUGUCAAGGAGCAUUUAAGAAAUCGGUUAUCAGAGGAUUGCAGCAGAGGUACCUCGCAGGAGAGCACAGCUUUAGAGACCCUUUCUUCAAGAAGUGGGAUGAAGUAUCUGUGGCCUUUAAAGAAGGAUGUCAGGAUGUGGUAACCAUUAACCAUGCAAAGGAGGCAUUCCUACACACGAGGGAAAUGCACCCUCGUCAACACAUGACUGAAUGCAGCUGCCAUGCCCUUAGGGGGGGUAAUAGGACCACACGGUGCCAAUGGAAAGGACACUUUUUUGUUGUCAAGCAUCUCCAGUUGCUGCUUUCUGAUGCUCAAGGACUGGACUGUGGUGGAUGGCUGCUGGCACGUGGCCCACGCAAACUCCAUUCUCUGGUAGGACAAAGGGGCAUAAUGUAAAGUCAAGCUGAGCCAAAAAUGUUGCAAGUGACAUUUAUUUCAGAGACGUCUGCUUCAGAAAAUUUCCAGUAUUUCAACUUACCUUAAGAAUGAAAUCACCAAUGAAGAUUGCACUUCUUUCUUCUCCAUCUCUCAUGAGGCAGAGGGAGGCGGUGGAGGUGAUGAAAAACAGAAGAUACAGCUGGAACUGUGAGAAAUUCAGGUUUACAAAAUAUAAUAAUCUAAACUGUAAUUUAGCUAAAUGCAUGCAACUAGAUCUAACUGCUGAAAUGUGCACUGAGGUUGCUAGGGGCUAAUUUUGCCAGCCCUUAAUGCUGUAAAUAUACUUCCUGAAAGAUGA